GAUGAACGCUAGCGGCAGGCUUAAUACAUGCAAGUCGAGGGGCAGCACAGGUAGCAAUACUGGGUGGCGACCGGCAAACGGGUGCGGAACACGUACAGAACCUUCCUUUAAGUGGGGGAUAGCCCAGAGAAAUUUGGAUUAAUACCCCGUAACAUUAUAGAGUGGCAUCACUCAGUAAUUAUAGAUUUAUCGCUUAGAGAUGGCUGUGCGGCUGAUUAGGUAGUUGGUGCGGGUAACGGCCCACCAAGCCUUCGAUCAGUAACUGGUGUGAGAGCACGACCAGUCACACGGGCACUGAGACACGGGCCCGGCUCCUACGGGAGGCAGCAGUAAGGAAUAUUGGUCAAUGGGAGGCAACUCUGAACCAGCCAUGCCGCGUGAAGGAUGAAGGU
RNAcentral lists this ribosomal RNA (392 nucleotides) under uncultured bacterium. Its description in RNAcentral is "bacterial SSU rRNA". It matches the Rfam family "Bacterial small subunit ribosomal RNA", at positions 28 to 415 of the family's 1533-position model. The record is from RNAcentral.